UGCAGUCGAGCGGUAGAGAGAAGCUUGCUUCUCUUGAGAGCGGCGGACGGGUGAGUAAUGCCUAGGAAUCUGCCUGGUAGUGGGGGAUAACGUUCGGAAACGGACGCUAAUACCGCAUACGUCCUACGGGAGAAAGCAGGGGACCUUCGGGCCUUGCGCUAUCAGAUGAGCCUAGGUCGGAUUAGCUAGUUGGUGAGGUAAUGGCUCACCAAGGCGACGAUCCGUAACUGGUCUGAGAGGAUGAUCAGUCACACUGGAACUGAGACACGGUCCAGACUCCUACGGGAGGCAGCAGUGGGGAAUAUUGGACAAUGGGCGAAAGCCUGAUCCAGCCAUGCCGCGUGUGUGAAGAAGGUCUUCGGAUUGUAAAGCACUUUAAGUUGGGAGGAAGGGUUGUAGAUUAAUACUCUGCAAUUUUGACGUUACCGACAGAAUAAGCACCGGCUAACUCUGUGCCAGCAGCCGCGGUAAUACAGAGGGUGCAAGCGUUAAUCGGAAUUACUGGGCGUAAAGCGCGCGUAGGUGGUUUGUUAAGUUGGAUGUGAAAUCCCCGGGCUCAACCUGGGAACUGCAUUCAAAACUGACUGACUAGAGUAUGGUAGAGGGUGGUGGAAUUUCCUGUGUAGCGGUGAAAUGCGUAGAUAUAGGAAGGAACACCAGUGGCGAAGGCGACCACCUGGACUAAUACUGACACUGAGGUGCGAAAGCGUGGGGAGCAAACAGGAUUAGAUACCCUGGUAGUCCACGCCGUAAACGAUGUCAACUAG
This 767-nucleotide ribosomal RNA is filed under the name bacterium LGM34. RNAcentral describes it as "bacterial SSU rRNA". It matches the Rfam family "Bacterial small subunit ribosomal RNA", at positions 56 to 819 of the family's 1533-position model. The record is from RNAcentral.